CUCCAACCCGAAUGCAUAACUCCGGAGCGCAUCGCCCGAGGGGGAGCGACCGCCCUCGAGCACGGAACUCAACAGCAAGUAUGAGCAUAUCCUUAACUCAAAGGAUUAUAGUUCAAUCUUGACUUUACACUAGCUCUAGUGUUCUUUACAUCACUUUAUGUUGCAAACUCAUGCAAUUACAUUCUUUACACUUCUUUACUCUUGCUAACUCUAGCAUUCUUGUUCUUAUUACCCACUUUACUUUAGCUUUACACGUCGUCAUUUUCAUCAUUCUUUACAUCACUUUAAUUCUUUACUUCACACUAACUCUAGUGUCAUUUUUCAUUAGCUUCACCGAAUGCCACUCGAUCUAUGUCAUU
This 359-nucleotide long non-coding RNA is filed under the name Ananas comosus (pineapple). RNAcentral's name for it is "long non-coding RNA (ACOM_LNC037585)". The record is from RNAcentral. Lineage: Eukaryota; Viridiplantae; Streptophyta; Magnoliopsida; Poales; Bromeliaceae.